AACGUGGUCGACGUGGCAGAUCGAAGAGCGUCCAGAUGAUCAAGAAACAGUUACCACUUUGUAGUAGUAUUUAUAAUAGUUUUUCAUUCAGAACAAAGGUCACAAAAUUUUAUACAAACACUCUCUCUAAAAUUCUAAGUACUCAGCGAUCGAACGAACGGAAUUCAGAGGAGAAAUGUAUGUUUUGUGAACCAUCUUU
This 199-nucleotide long non-coding RNA is filed under the name Trifolium pratense (red clover). RNAcentral's name for it is "long non-coding RNA (TPRA_LNC012632)". The record is from RNAcentral. Lineage: Eukaryota; Viridiplantae; Streptophyta; Magnoliopsida; Fabales; Fabaceae.